AUACGGAGGGUGCAAGCGUUAUUCGGAAUCACUGGGCGUAAAGGAGGCGUAGGCGGGUUGGCAAGUCAGAUGUGAAAUCCUACAGCUUAACUGUAGAACUGCAUUUGAAACUGCUAACCUAGAGUAUGGGAGGGGGAGAUGGAAUUAGUGGUGUAGGGGUAAAAUCCGUAGAUAUCACUAGGAAUACCGAAAGCGAAGGCGAUCUCCUGGAACAUAACUGACGCUAAGGCGUGAAAGCGUGGGGAGCAAACAGGAUUAGAUACCCUAGUAGUCC
This 274-nucleotide ribosomal RNA is filed under the name uncultured bacterium. Its description in RNAcentral is "partial 16S ribosomal RNA". It matches the Rfam family "Bacterial small subunit ribosomal RNA", at positions 523 to 796 of the family's 1533-position model. The record is from RNAcentral.